This 460-nucleotide ribosomal RNA is filed under the name uncultured bacterium. RNAcentral's name for it is "partial 16S ribosomal RNA". It matches the Rfam family "Bacterial small subunit ribosomal RNA", at positions 338 to 795 of the family's 1533-position model. The record is from RNAcentral.
CCUACGGUGGGCUGCAGUGAGGAAUAUUGGUCAAUGGACGAGAGUCUGAACCAGCCAAGUAGCGUGAAGGAUGACUGCCCUAUGGGUUGUAAACUUCUUUUAUAUGGGAAUAAAAUGUUCUACGUGCGGGAUUUUGUAUGUAUCAUAUGAUUACAGAUCGGCUAACUCCUUGCCCGCAGCCGCGGUAAUACGGAGGAUUCGAGCGUUAUCCGGUUUUAUUGGGUUUAAAAGGAGCGUAGGUGGAUUGUUAAGUCAGUUGUGAAAGUUUGCGGCUCAACCGUAAAAUUGCAGUUGAAACUGGCAGUCUUGAGUACAGUAGAGGUGGGCGGAAUUCGUGGUGUAGCGGUGAAAUGCUUAGAUAUCACGAAGAACUCCGAUUGCGAAGGCAGCUCACUGGACUGCAACUGACACUGAGGCUCGAAAGUGUGGGUAUCAAACAGGAUUAGAUACCCUUGUAGUC